This 223-nucleotide ribosomal RNA is filed under the name Vibrio parahaemolyticus. Its description in RNAcentral is "partial 23S ribosomal RNA". It matches the Rfam family "Bacterial large subunit ribosomal RNA", at positions 2126 to 2348 of the family's 2925-position model. Lineage: Bacteria; Pseudomonadati; Pseudomonadota; Gammaproteobacteria; Vibrionales; Vibrionaceae. The record is from RNAcentral.
GACCCUACAUGUGUAGGAUAGGUGGGAGGCUUUGAAGCACGUACGCCAGUAUGUGUGGAGCCGUCCUUGAAAUACCACCCUUGUAGUGUUGAUGUUCUAACGUCGACCCCUAAUCGGGGUUGCGGACAGUGCCUGGUGGGUAGUUUGACUGGGGCGGUCUCCUCCCAAAGAGUAACGGAGGAGCACGAAGGUGGGCUAAUCACGGUUGGACAUCGUGAGGUUA